Molecule: ribosomal RNA, 448 nt
Filed under: uncultured bacterium
Lineage: Bacteria
Description: SSU rRNA
Rfam family: Bacterial small subunit ribosomal RNA
Source: RNAcentral
AGAACGAACGCUGGCGGCAGGCCUAACACAUGCAAGUCGAGCGAUCGCAGCAAUGCGGGAGCGGCAGACGGGUGAGUAACACGUGGGAACGUACCCUUCGGUUCGGAAUAACUCAGGGAAACUUGAGCUAAUACCGGAUACGUCCGAGAGGAGAAAGAUUUAUCGCCGAAGGAUCGGCCCGCGUCUGAUUAGCUAGUUGGUGAGGUAACGGCUCACCAAGGCGACGAUCAGUAGCUGGUCUGAGAGGAUGAUCAGCCACAUUGGGACUGAGACACGGCCCAAACUCCUACGGGAGGCAGCAGUGGGGAAUAUUGGACAAUGGGCGCAAGCCUGAUCCAGCCAUGCCGCGUGAGUGAUGAAGGCCUUAGGGUUGUAAAGCUCUUUUACCUGGGAAGAUAAUGACGGUACCAGGAGAAUAAGCCCCGGCUAACUUCGUGCCAGCAGCCGC